Molecule: microRNA precursor, 75 nt
Filed under: Medicago truncatula (barrel medic)
Lineage: Eukaryota; Viridiplantae; Streptophyta; Magnoliopsida; Fabales; Fabaceae
Description: MIR5269 microRNA precursor family
Rfam family: MIR5269 microRNA precursor family
Source: Rfam by way of RNAcentral
UUGGUUUAAAUCAUUGUGUGACUACACUUUGAAAAUUAAACUCACACAAAGUGAUAGGACAUUGAUUUCAUCUAA